RNAcentral lists this ribosomal RNA (468 nucleotides) under uncultured bacterium. RNAcentral describes it as "partial 16S ribosomal RNA". It matches the Rfam family "Bacterial small subunit ribosomal RNA", at positions 28 to 507 of the family's 1533-position model. The record is from RNAcentral.
GACGAACGCUGGCGGCGUGCUUAACACAUGCAAGUCGAACGGAAAGGCCCUGCUUUUGUGGGGUGCUCGAGUGGCGAACGGGUGAGUAACACGUGAGUAACCUGCCCUUGACUUUGGGAUAACUUCAGGAAACUGGGGCUAAUACCGGAUAGGAGCUCCUGCUGCAUGGUGGGGGUUGGAAAGUUUCGGCGGUUGGGGAUGGACUCGCGGCUUAUCAGCUUGUUGGUGGGGUAGUGGCUUACCAAGGCUUUGACGGGUAGCCGGCCUGAGAGGGUGACCGGCCACCAUGGGACUGAGGUACGGCCCAGACUGCUACCGGCGGCAACAGUGGGGAAUAUUGCACAAUGGGCGGAAGCCUGAUGCAACAACGCCGCGUGCGGGAUGACGGGCUUCGGGUUGUAAACCGCUUUCGCCUGUGACGAAGCGUGCGUGACGGUAAUUGGUAAAAAAGCACCGGCUAACUACGUG